This is a long non-coding RNA of Carassius auratus (goldfish), 1559 nucleotides long. The record is from Ensembl. Lineage: Eukaryota; Metazoa; Chordata; Actinopteri; Cypriniformes; Cyprinidae.
GCAUGUUCUUUCUUUCCUUUCCAAACAUUUAAACAAACUUGUAUCUGAAUAUACUGAAAAUAAAUAAAAAAGUAAAAACAAUAGCAAAUGCAGAUCCAGCUUGGAUAACAAUUUUUAACAAACAAAUUCAUCCAAAUAUAUUGUUUGUAGGGUAUAAAUAAUAAACAUUGAUUUAGUUGUUUUAUAUUAGGUAAUUUAUUUUUAAAUCACUGUUUUAACUUUAUUUGUCGACGGAAAAUAUAACAACGCGCAGUCUGAGCUGGAGAAUGAUAAACACGUGACGGCUUCCGGGCGUCGUCCUGGAUACCAGUCGUGUGCUUCCGGUCGCUGUGCGAUGCUAAGCUAAGCGUGCUAACGAGCUGCUCCGAGUUUCAUCCGAAUUUUAAAAUCGAAAUAAAGACAGAAUCGAAUCGAAGCGAUGCGCGUCAGCCGCCGCAGUUUGGACAGAAUCUUCUCGAUCGGUCUUCUGCUGCUGGUUCUGCUCUCGUGGGGAUUCGUCAUCUACGGCACACGAGUCGCCGCACAGUGGGAGCUGGAGAAACGAGAGAAGAUCAAGACGUAAAGCUCAGCAAACAUGAGCCGAGACGCUGAGGACACAAACCCCUCACAAACACUUCUUCUGAUGUCUGUGUGUCUGCUUCAUUCACACUGCUCUGUGUGUGUGACUACACUUUCAGGCCACUAGAUGGCAUAGCGCACUAGAAACCGCUCAAGCACACUACAUAGGGCUCGAAAGAGAGCAGAGAUCCUGGAACAGGAUCACAAACCAGUGAUAAUGCAGUUGCACAAAACAAAUGCACAAUAAGAUUAUGAAGUAAGAUUAAUGAUGUUAUUAAAGUGUUAUUAUAGCAUCACUACGAGAGCUUGGACACUAUGCGUGUGUCAUUUUCUUGUGGUUUGUCUGUAUUUUAUGUGCCUACAUAUGUUUUAAAAUUAUCUUUAUUUCAGUUUGUUGUUUUUGUACAACAGAGUAAAGUGGAAAAUGUUUCCUCAGUAACAUAACAUAAAUAAAACUUGAUUUGUUUUACAAAAAAGGUGUUUUUUAGUGGUUUUCAUCAACCGUUUAAUCUUCCUUUUUGGCUUUAAUUAAUAUCCAUUUCAGUUUUUGUUCAAUAUUAUAAUUAAACCCAACAUUUGUAACAUUUUUAAUCUAGUGUUUCUGUUUUAUUUGAGUGAACAGAUGUCCUUUUUCAGUAGUUUUGGUUGGAGAGAAGCCUGUUUGUGAACGGAGCUGUGUGUGUGUGUGUGUGUGUGUUUGAUGUGUCUGCGUCUGCUGUUCUCUCUGAUCUUAAUGAAAUGAUUGAGUGAAUGGCUCUUUUGUGCUCGUGUGCCGCUCACGCAUUUCAUUAGCGAGCCUCUUCAGACGCCGGAUUAUUCAGAAAAGCUCUCGUCUCUUCCACAUCUACAACCAGUGUGUGUGUGUGUGUGUGUGUGUGUGUGUGUCUCUGCACCUGUAGUCCUGAGGUCUGUGUGUGUGAUGUUUGUCACCAUCACUAAAACUAGAGAUUUAUAAAUGAGUUCACACAUAGUCAGAUAUUAGAGUUAUUAGUUUAUUUUGC